GAUGAACGCUAGCUACAGGCUUAACACAUGCAAGUCGCGGGGCAGCAUGGGGGUUGCUUGCAAUCCCCGAUGGCGACCGGCGCACGGGUGAGUAACGCGUAUUCAACCUGCCCUUCACCACGGGAUAACCCGGCGAAAGUCGGACUAAUACCGUAUGUUGUCCAUUGACGGCAUCCGAUUUGGACGAAAGGCUUGGCGGUGAGGGAUGGGGAUGCGUCCGAUUAGCCAGACGGCGGGGUAACGGCCCACCGUGGCUACGAUCGGUAGGGGUUCUGAGAGGAAGGUCCCCCACACUGGAACUGACACACGGUCCAGACUCCUACGGGAGGCAGCAGUGAGGAAUAUUGGUCAAUGGGCGUAAGCCUGAACCAGCCAAGUAGCGUGCAGGAUGACGGCCCUAUGGGUUGUAAACUGCUUUUAUGCGGGGAUAAAGUGGCCCACGUGUGGGCUUUUGCAGGUUCCGCAUGAAUAAGGACCGGCUAAUUCCGUG
RNAcentral lists this ribosomal RNA (490 nucleotides) under uncultured bacterium. Its description in RNAcentral is "partial 16S ribosomal RNA". It matches the Rfam family "Bacterial small subunit ribosomal RNA", at positions 28 to 507 of the family's 1533-position model. The record is from RNAcentral.